This 500-nucleotide ribosomal RNA is filed under the name uncultured bacterium. Its description in RNAcentral is "partial 16S ribosomal RNA". It matches the Rfam family "Bacterial small subunit ribosomal RNA", at positions 30 to 523 of the family's 1533-position model. The record is from RNAcentral.
AUUGAACGCUGGCGGCAUGCCUUACACAUGCAAGUCGAACGGCAGCACGGGAGCAAUCCUGGUGGCGAGUGGCGAACGGGUGAGUAAUAUAUCGGAACGUGCCCAGUCGUGGGGGAUAACGUAGCGAAAGCUACGCUAAUACCGCAUACGAUCUAUGGAUGAAAGCGGGGGAUCGCAAGACCUCGCGCGAUUGGAGCGGCCGGUAUCAGAUUAGGUAGUUGGUGAGGUAAAGGCUCACCAAGCCGACGAUCUGUAGCUGGUCUGAGAGGACGACCAGCCACACUGGGACUGAGACACGGCCCAGACUCCUACGGGAGGCAGCAGUGGGGAAUUUUGGACAAUGGGCGCAAGCCUGAUCCAGCAAUGCCGCGUGCAGGAUGAAGGCCUUCGGGUUGUAAACUGCUUUUGUACGGAACGAAACGGCGAGCUCUAAUACAGUUUGCUAAUGACGGUACCGUAAGAAUAAGCACCGGCUAACUACGUGCCAGCAGCCGCGGUAA